RNAcentral lists this ribosomal RNA (468 nucleotides) under uncultured bacterium. Its description in RNAcentral is "partial 16S ribosomal RNA". It matches the Rfam family "Bacterial small subunit ribosomal RNA", at positions 28 to 507 of the family's 1533-position model. The record is from RNAcentral.
GACGAACGCUGGCGGCGUGCUUAACACAUGCAAGUCGAACGGAAAGGCCCUGCUUUUGUGGGGUGCUCGAGUGGCGAACGGGUGAGUAACACGUGAGUAACCUGCCCUUGACUUUGGGAUAACUUCAGGAAACUGGGGCUAAUACCGGAUAGGAGCUCCUGCUGCAUGGUGGGGGUUGGAAAGUUUCGGCGGUUGGGGAUGGACUCGCGGCUUAUCAGCUUGUUGGUGGGGUAGUGGCUUACCAAGGCUUUGACGGGUAGCCGGCCUGAGAGGGUGACCGGCCACAUUGGGACUGAGAUACGGCCCAGACUCCUACGGGGGGCAGCAGUGGGGAAUAUUGCACAAUGGGCGGAAGCCUGAUGCAGCAACGCCGCGGGCGGGAUGACGGCCUUCGGGUUGUAAACCGCUUUCGCCUGUGACGAAGCGUGAGGGACGGUAAUGGGUAAAGAAGCACCGGCUAACUACGUG